Long non-coding RNA from Drosophila guanche, 686 nucleotides. RefSeq lists it as uncharacterized. The record is from RefSeq and is a predicted model, not a curated record. Lineage: Eukaryota; Metazoa; Arthropoda; Insecta; Diptera; Drosophilidae. The transcript has 3 exons.
CAUAAAUACCAUUUCCUUUAUUGUCUUUUCUAGAACGAGUUGUCUGUGCGUAACUCUACAACAAAAUGCUUUACGAAUUGGCACUUGAGACCCUUAAUAUAGUGUUCGAUAUCUUUCAGAAGUUGAAGAAUGCAACUGCCAACUACGAAGUGUGGAACCUAAUUGCACUUGAGGAAAUCAUUUAAAUUUGUGACAAAUGCACAGAUUGAUGACGACGUUCCCGUUGCGGGUGCUGGCUGCUGAUGGUUGGGGGGGAUGGCGUUUUUGUCAGGCAUAGCCAAAGCCAGAGAGAGAGAGAGAGAGCCCAUUGAGUAAUACGUCACUUGAGUUGUCAAAAGAGCGACGCCCGACGAGUAGAAAAACGUGUGUAGCCCCCACCAUCACCAUCCCAACCAGAGGCAAAGGCAACACGCAUCCGUCUCCCCGUACGUGUUCCUGUAGCCGGUAUUUCCGCACAAGUUGCUGUCGAUCAGGACGUCGGCGGGUGGCACAAGUUGUUACAUUUCAACAUGUUUCGUUACGCCUUGAAAUCAUUUUGAUACUUGUAUUUUGAUCUCUUUUUUGUGUUAUGGCAUAAAACUGUUUUUUUUUUUUAAGUAGCGUCUUAGUUGAAGUGCAUGUCUGUGUUUUUAGGAGGGUCCAAAACUAUGAGGAGGGGAUGUUUCAUUUUUAUAAACAAUUUUCCA